RNAcentral lists this ribosomal RNA (603 nucleotides) under Triticum aestivum (bread wheat). Its description in RNAcentral is "partial small subunit ribosomal RNA". The record is from RNAcentral. Lineage: Eukaryota; Viridiplantae; Streptophyta; Magnoliopsida; Poales; Poaceae.
CGCUAUGCCACAGAAGAAGUGUCCACGGACGCCAAGAAGCAAGCUAGGUUCCGGAAGGGUCUCAACCCCAAGUUGCGUCGUGAUCUCCACCUGCAUCAUUGUGAUACAUUCCAAGCCCUUGUGAACAAGGCCAUCAAUGCAGAGACAGCUCAACUCACUUACGAGGAGUCUCGUAAGCACACCCGUGAUUUGGGAUCUUCCUCCGGUUCUAGUUCCCAGAAGCGCCGGAUUUGGGUUCCAAACUCCGCUCUUCCUUCCGGUUAUACACCGAGGCCAUCCUAUGUGGUGCCUUCUCCAGCUCAGUCGUAUGUUCCACCCGGGCCUACUGGUAGACCGUUUGUCAGUGCGGGUCCACGUCCAACCUCAGGGACUUGCUUCACAUGCGGGAAGCCAGGACACUAUGCACGUGACUGCUCUCAGACUAGUUAUGCUCCACCUCAGCCCGAGAAGACUUUUGGCUGUGUUAAGCCAUCACGCAAGAUGAUCAGUGUCAAGUCAGCCCCCACUGAACGUGGACGUGUGCAUCACGUCUCAGCUAAAGACGCUCAUGAUGAUCCAGAUGUCGUUCUUGGUACCCUUCUUGUCAAUUGUCACCCAGCAUCA